RNAcentral lists this ribosomal RNA (468 nucleotides) under uncultured bacterium. RNAcentral describes it as "partial 16S ribosomal RNA". It matches the Rfam family "Bacterial small subunit ribosomal RNA", at positions 28 to 507 of the family's 1533-position model. The record is from RNAcentral.
GACGAACGCUGGCGGCGUGCUUAACACAUGCAAGUCGAACGGCAAGGCCCUGCUUUUGUGGGGUUCUCGAGUGGCGAACGGGUGAGUGACACGUGAGUAACCUGCCCUUGACUUUGGGAUAACUUCAGGAAACUGGGGCUAAUACCGGAUAGGAGCUCCCGCUGCAUGGUGGGCGUUGGAAAGUUUCGGCGGUUGGGGAUGGACUCGCGGCUUAUCAGCUUGUUGGUGGGGUAGUGGCUGACCAAGGCUUUGACGGGUAGCCGGCCUGGGAGGGUGGACGGGGACAUGGGGACUGCGAUAGGCAGCAGACGCGUAUGGUAGGCAGCAGGGGGGAACAUGGUACAAUGGUACCAAGCCUGUGGCAGCAGCGCUGCGUGCGGGAUGACGGCCUUCGGGGUGAAAACAGCUUUCGCUUGUGACGAAGCGGGAGUGACGGUAAUGGGUAAAGAAGCACCGGCUAACUACGUG